UACGAAGGGUGCAAGCGUUACUCGGAAUUACUGGGCGUAAAGCGUGCGUAGGUGGUUUGUUAAGUCUGUUGUGAAAGCCCCGGGCUCAACCUGGGAAUGGCAAUGGAUACUGGCAAGCUAGAGUGCGGUAGAGGGUAGUGGAAUUCCCGGUGUAGCGGUGAAAUGCGUAGAGAUCGGGAGGAACACCGAUGGCGAAGGCAAUCCCCUGGGCCUGCACUGACGCUCAUGCACGAAAGCGUGGGGAGCAAACAGG
Molecule: ribosomal RNA, 253 nt
Filed under: uncultured bacterium
Lineage: Bacteria
Description: partial 16S ribosomal RNA
Rfam family: Bacterial small subunit ribosomal RNA
Source: RNAcentral